RNAcentral lists this ribosomal RNA (497 nucleotides) under uncultured bacterium. RNAcentral's name for it is "partial 16S ribosomal RNA". It matches the Rfam family "Bacterial small subunit ribosomal RNA", at positions 28 to 507 of the family's 1533-position model. The record is from RNAcentral.
GAUGAACGCUGGCGGCGUGCCUAAUACAUGCAAGUCGAGCGAACAGACGAGGAGCUUGCUCCUCUGACGUUAGCGGCGGACGGGUGAGUAACACGUGGAUAACCUACCUAUAAGACUGGGAUAACUUCGGGAAACCGGAGCUAAUACCGGAUAAGAUAUUGAACCGCAUGGUUCAAUGGUGAAAGACGGUUUUGCUGGCACUUCUAGAUGGAUCCGCGCCGCAUUAGCUAGUUGGGAAGGUAAAGGCUUACCAAGGCAACGAUGCGUAGCCGAACUGAGAGGGUGAUCGGCCACACGGGAACUGAGACACGGUCCAGACUCCUACGGGAGGCAGCAGUAGGGAAUCUUCCGCAAUGGGCGAAAGCCUUACGGAGCAACGCCGCGCGAGUGAUGAAGGUCUUCGGAUCGUAAAACUCUGUUAUUAGGGAAGAACAAAUGUGUAAGUAACUAUGCACGUCUUGACGGUACCUAAUCAGAAAGCCCCGGCUAACUACGUG